GCAUGCCAUAGGAUGAGCCCAAGUGGGAUUAGGUAGUUGGGGGGGUAAAUGCCUACCAAGCGUGCGAUCUGUAGCUGUCGAGAGGAUGACCAGCCACACUGGAACUGAGACACGGUCCAGACUCCUACGGGAGGCAGCAGUGGGGAAUAUUGCGCAAUGGGGGGAACCCUGACGCAGCCAUGCCGCGUGAACGAAGAAGGCCUUAGGGUUGUAAAGUUCUUUCGGUAUUGAGGAAGGUUGAUGUGUUAAUAGCACAUCAAAUUGACGUUAAAUACAGAAGAAGCACCGGCUAACUCCGUGCCAGCAGCCGCGGUAAUACGGAGGGUGCGAGCGUUAAUCGGAAUAACUGGGCGUAAAGGGCACGCAGGCGGUUAUUUAAGUGAGGUGUGAAAGCCCCGGGCUUAACCUGGGAAUUGCAUUUCAGACUGGGUAACUAGAGUACUUUAGGGAGGGGUAGAAUUCCACGUGUAGCGGUGAAAUGCGUAGAGAUGUGGAGGAAUACCGAAGGCGAAGGCAGCCCCUUGGGAAUGUACUGACGCUCAUGUGCGAAAGCGUGGGGAGCAAACAGG
This 569-nucleotide ribosomal RNA is filed under the name uncultured Haemophilus sp. Its description in RNAcentral is "bacterial SSU rRNA". It matches the Rfam family "Bacterial small subunit ribosomal RNA", at positions 213 to 776 of the family's 1533-position model. Lineage: Bacteria; Pseudomonadati; Pseudomonadota; Gammaproteobacteria; Pasteurellales; Pasteurellaceae. The record is from RNAcentral.